GACGAACGCUGGCGGCGUGCUUAACACAUGCAAGUCGAACGGAAAGGCCUCUUUCGGGGGGUACUCGAGUGGCGAACGGGUGAGUAACACGUGAGUAACCUGCCCUUUACUUUGGGAUAACUUCAGGAAACUGGGGCUAAUACCGGAUAGGAGCUCCUGCCGCAUGGUGGGGGUUGGAAAGUUUCGGCGGUUGGGGAUGGACUCGCGGCUUAUCAGCUUGUUGGUGGGGUAGUGGCUUACCAAGGCUUUGACGGGUAGCCGGCCUGGGAGGGUGACCGGCCACAUUGGGACUGAGAUACGGCCCAGACUCCUACGGGAGGCAGCAGUGGGGAAUAUUGCACAAUGGGUGGAAGCCUGAUGCAGCAACGCCGUGUGCGGGAUGACGGCCUUCGGGUUGUAAACCGCUUUCGCUCAUGACGAAGCUUUGUGUGACGGUAGUGGGUAAAGAAGCACCGGCUAACUACGUG
Molecule: ribosomal RNA, 467 nt
Filed under: uncultured bacterium
Lineage: Bacteria
Description: partial 16S ribosomal RNA
Rfam family: Bacterial small subunit ribosomal RNA
Source: RNAcentral